This 288-nucleotide long non-coding RNA is filed under the name Malus domestica (apple). Its description in RNAcentral is "long non-coding RNA (MDOM_LNC001325)". Lineage: Eukaryota; Viridiplantae; Streptophyta; Magnoliopsida; Rosales; Rosaceae. The record is from RNAcentral.
CCAACAACUUGCACGUACUUCUUCAACUUAUUUGGAAUUUUGGAUGGUUGGUGAAGUUUGGCAAUAGAAAAUUUGGAGAUGGGGUGGGCAAGUUAGGAUGUUUGACGAUAGACUUAUGCACCAGAGACGGGUAAGAUGGUGUUGACCGGCUACUUUCGUGACGAAGGUGAUGGGGCUAAAGGGUUAUCCAAUUGGAUGAGUUGAGGUGAUGGGUUGUUACCAACGGCAUGGGAGUUAUCGGGCGUGCCCAUGUCGAUGACGGAGGUAUUCAGAGAUAGCUGGGCGUCG